UACAGAGGUCCCAAGCGUUGUUCGGAUUCAUUGGGCGUAAAGGGUGUGUAGGUGGCGCCGUAAGUCGGGUGUGAAAUUUCGGAGCUUAACUCCGAAACUGCAUUCGAUACUGCGGUGCUUGAGGACUGGAGAGGAGACUGGAAUUCGUGGUGUAGCAGUGAAAUGCGUAGAGAUCAUGAGGAAGACCAGUGGCGAAGGCGGGUCUCUGGACAGUUCCUGACACUGAGGCACGAAGGCCAGGGGAGCAAACGGG
This 253-nucleotide ribosomal RNA is filed under the name uncultured bacterium. Its description in RNAcentral is "partial 16S ribosomal RNA". It matches the Rfam family "Bacterial small subunit ribosomal RNA", at positions 524 to 776 of the family's 1533-position model. The record is from RNAcentral.